Long non-coding RNA from Acanthochromis polyacanthus (spiny chromis), 1304 nucleotides. RefSeq lists it as uncharacterized. NCBI's taxonomy places the organism in Eukaryota, Metazoa, Chordata, Actinopteri, Pomacentridae. The record is from RefSeq and is a predicted model, not a curated record. The transcript is spliced from 2 exons.
AGGUUUAUCUGAGAAAACCUCCAGUUUCUCUCCGUCUCCGCCCUCUUUCAGCCACACGCUGUUUCAUUUCCUCAUUCAUUCAGUCAGUAAGCGAGCGAGUUUUGGUGUAGAACAGCUUUUAUUAACGAUCCAGUGGAUAAAGGAGCAGCAUUACUGCACAGAUCAUUAAAUAUUCGUCGGUAGAUUGUUAUCAGACCGAGCAUAAAUGUUCUCACAUUUCUGGACAAUUAUCGGUUUGAGCGGUACCGUUUCGUAAUCGUUUCAAGUCCAUAAUCUACAUAAACAACCUUAUCCGUCCUUACAUUUACAUUACCAACCAGUCAUGCUCUCACAUCCAGCAGAUAUUGUGUGUUGCGCUGCGGUUCUUUGCAAAUGGAAGUUUUUAUAUCAUGUCAGAGAUGCAGAGUAAGACAACUGUAUGGAGGACAGUCAGAAAAGUUUUCCUGAUCCUGAAACGACUUUUACUCAUUGUGCAUGGGAUUGCAGGUGAAUGAUGUAGAGAUCUGUUACAUUCAUUUUAAAUCUUAUUCUGUUAAUGACAUUGUGCUGCAGCCUCAGACUGGGAUCAGUCAUUUUAAUUUCUUUUAGGAUUUCCCAGUGUGAUUGGCUGCAUAGAUGCACACACAUCCCCAUCACAGCUCCCUCACAUCAUGAACAGGAAGUCCAUUCACAGCAUAAAUGUGCAGGUAGGCUACAGGUAGACUGACUACUGUUUCUAAAUGUUAAAGACUGCAUCAUAGUUCAACAUCUGUCAUUCUCUGCACUGUCCAGAUCAUAUGUGAUGCUGCAUACAUCAUUUCUAAUGUGGAGGCCACGUGGUCUGGGUCUGUUCAUGACUCCAGGAUUUAUGGAGAGUCUAACCUGAGCAACAGACUGCAGCGUGGAGAGUUUGAUGGCCUUCUGCUGGGUGACAGGGGUUACCAUGACAACCCAGGCUGAUGACCUCAUACCCUGACCCUGAACCAGGCCCCCAACAGAACUUCAACCGAGCUCACUGCAGGACCAGAGCCCGGGUGGAGAUGACCAUAGGCCUGCUGAAAGCCCGUUUCCAGAGCCUACGUCUCCUCAGGGUGACCCCUGAGAGGGCCUGUGAUAUUACUGUGGCAUGUGUUGUUCUUCAUAAUAUUACCACUAUUAGAGGAGAGCAACACCCUGCCCUACAAACUGAAGACCCAGAUGAUGAGCCCAUCCACCUGCAGCUAUCCAGGACAGCAGAGCAGUCAGAGACACCGUAUGCAAUAAUCACUUUAGAGUUUAAGUCUCCAUCAUCACCACCACAGCAAAUAAAGACAUGAUACACAUUU